CAUGCGUCGCAUUAGCUAGUUGGCGGGGUAACGGCCCACCAAGGCGACGAUGCGUAGGGGUUCUGAGAGGAAGGUCCCCCACACUGGUACUGAGACACGGACCAGACUCCUACGGGAGGCAGCAGUGAGGAAUAUUGGUCAAUGGCCGCAGGGCUGAACCAGCCAAGUCGCGUGAGGGAUGACGGUCCUAUGGAUUGUAAACCUCUUUUGUCAGGGAGCAAAGGACGCCACGUGUGGCGUUUUGCGAGUACCUGAAGAAAAAGCAUCGGCUAACUCCGUGCCAGCAGCCGCGGUAAUACGGAGGACGCGAGCGUUAUCCGGAUUUAUUGGGUUUAAAGGGUGCGCAGGCGGAAUGUCAAGUCAGCGGUAAAAUUUCGGGGCUCAACCCCGUCGUGCCGUUGAAACUGGCGUUCUUGAGUGAGCGAGAAGUAUGCGGAAUGCGUGGUGUAGCGGUGAAAUGCAUAGAUAUCACGCAGAACUCCGAUUGCGAAGGCAGCAUACCGGCGCUCAACUGACGCUCAUGCACGAAAGCGUGGGUAUCGAACAGGAUUAGAUACCCUGGUAGUCCACGCAGUAAACGAUGAAUACUAACUGUCCGGGCCGAUUGAGGUCUGG
RNAcentral lists this ribosomal RNA (615 nucleotides) under uncultured bacterium. RNAcentral's name for it is "bacterial SSU rRNA". It matches the Rfam family "Bacterial small subunit ribosomal RNA", at positions 230 to 842 of the family's 1533-position model. The record is from RNAcentral.